UACGAAGGGGGCUAGCGUUGUUCGGAAUUACUGGGCGUAAAGCGUACGUAGGCGGAUUGUUAAGUGAGGGGUGAAAUCCCGAGGCUCAACCUCGGAACUGCCUUUCAUACUGGCAAUCUUGAGUCCGGGAGAGGUGAGUGGAACUCCUAGUGUAGAGGUGAAAUUCGUAGAUAUUAGGAAGAACACCAGUGGCGAAGGCGGCUCACUGGCCCGGAACUGACGCUGAGGUACGAAAGCGUGGGGAGCAAAC
Molecule: ribosomal RNA, 250 nt
Filed under: uncultured prokaryote
Description: partial 16S ribosomal RNA
Rfam family: Bacterial small subunit ribosomal RNA
Source: RNAcentral